UUUUAUGGAGAGUUUGAUCCUGGCUCAGGAUGAACGCUGGCGGCGUGCCUAAUACAUGCAAGUCGAGCGAACAGAUAAGGAGCUUGCUCCUUUGACGUUAGCGGCGGACGGG
RNAcentral lists this ribosomal RNA (112 nucleotides) under Staphylococcus sp. HMSC068D05. Its description in RNAcentral is "partial 16S ribosomal RNA". It matches the Rfam family "Bacterial small subunit ribosomal RNA", at positions 1 to 106 of the family's 1533-position model. The record is from RNAcentral. Lineage: Bacteria; Bacillati; Bacillota; Bacilli; Caryophanales; Staphylococcaceae.